GCGCACAAAGUGGAAUUAGAGAUCCAUACAAGCACAAUUGUACAUAAUAAAAUCUGAACCUAAAUAUUCAAUACUCGUCUCACCUUUUGCCAAUUGUGUGAAGGCUUAUUUGCAUUGAUUUGAUUGUUUUUAAUAGAUUUUUUAAUAUUUCUUAACACUAAAUUUCGAUUUUACUCAAUUGGUUACUUCCAUUCCCCCCCCCC
This 203-nucleotide long non-coding RNA is filed under the name Gossypium raimondii (Peruvian cotton). RNAcentral's name for it is "long non-coding RNA (GRAI_LNC003541)". Lineage: Eukaryota; Viridiplantae; Streptophyta; Magnoliopsida; Malvales; Malvaceae. The record is from RNAcentral.